RNAcentral lists this ribosomal RNA (227 nucleotides) under uncultured bacterium. RNAcentral describes it as "partial 16S ribosomal RNA". It matches the Rfam family "Bacterial small subunit ribosomal RNA", at positions 144 to 353 of the family's 1533-position model. The record is from RNAcentral.
GAACAGUUGGAAACGACUGCUAAUACCGCAUACGAUCUAAACUCGGCAUCGAGGAUAGAUGAAAGGUGGCCUCUACAUGUAAGCUAUCACUGAAGGAGGGGAUUGCGUCUGAUUAGCUAGUUGGAGGGGUAACGGCCCACCAAGGCGAUGAUCAGUAGCCGGUCUGAGAGGAUGAACGGCCACAUUGGGACUGAGACACGGCCCAGACUCCUACGGGAGGCAGCAUG